AGCAGCCGCGGUAAUUCCAGCUCCAAUAGCGUAUAUUAAAGUUGUUGCAGUUAAAAAGCUCGUAGUUGAAUUUCGGGAUUAAUAUGUUGGUCGUGCCUUGGUACGUACUGGCAUUAUUGAUUCCUACCUUCUGAAGAACCUCGAUGUCAUUAAUUUGGUGUCUUGGGGAAUCAGGACCGUUACUUUGAAAAAAUUAGAGUGUUUAAAGCAGGCUCGCGCUUGAAUACAUUAGCAUGGAAUAAUGAAAUAGGACGUUUGAUUCUAUUUUGUUGGUUUCUAGGAUCGACGUAAUGAUUAAUAGGGAUAGUUGGGGGCAUUAGUAUUCAAUUGUCAGAGGUGAAAUUCUUGGAUUUAUUGAAGACUGACUACUGCGAAAGCAUUUGCCAAGGAUGUUUUCAUUAAUCAAGAACGAAAGUUAGGGGAUCGAAGACGAUCAGAUACCGUCGUAGUCUUAACCAUAAACUAUGCCGACUAGGGAUCGGAUGAUGUUAAUUUUAAUGACUCAUUCGGCGCCUUAAC
This 519-nucleotide unclassified non-coding RNA is filed under the name uncultured Glomus. Its description in RNAcentral is "SSU rRNA". It matches the Rfam family "Eukaryotic small subunit ribosomal RNA", at positions 569 to 1092 of the family's 1831-position model. Lineage: Eukaryota; Fungi; Glomeromycota; Glomeromycetes; Glomerales; Glomeraceae. The record is from RNAcentral.